RNAcentral lists this ribosomal RNA (253 nucleotides) under uncultured bacterium. RNAcentral describes it as "partial 16S ribosomal RNA". It matches the Rfam family "Bacterial small subunit ribosomal RNA", at positions 524 to 776 of the family's 1533-position model. The record is from RNAcentral.
UACGUAGGUGGCAAGCGUUGUCCGGAUUUACUGGGCGUAAAGGGAGCGUAGGUGGAUAUUUAAGUGGGAUGUGAAAUACUCGGGCUUAACCUGGGUGCUGCAUUCCAAACUGGAUAUCUAGAGUGCAGGAGGGGAAAGUAGAAUUCCUAGUGUAGCGGUGAAAUGCGUAGAGAUUAGGAAGAAUACCAGUGGCGAAGGCGACUUUCUGGACUGUAACUGACACUGAGGCUCGAAAGCGUGGGGAGCAAACAGG